UCCUGCCUACGGGAGGCAGCAGUGAGGAAUAUUGGUCAAUGGACGAGAGUCUGAACCAGCCACGUAGCGUGAAGGAUGACUGCCCUAUGGGUUGUAAACUUCUUUUAUAUGGGAAUAAAACGUUCCACGUGUGGGAUUUUGUAUGUACCAUAUGAAUAAGGAUCGGCUAACUCCGUGCCAGCAGCCGCGGUAAUACGGAGGAUCCGAGCGUUAUCCGGAUUUAUUGGGUUUAAAGGGAGCGUAGGUGGAUUGUUAAGUCAGUUGUGAAAGGUUGCGGCUCAACCGUAAAAUUGCAGU
Molecule: ribosomal RNA, 297 nt
Filed under: uncultured bacterium
Lineage: Bacteria
Description: partial 16S ribosomal RNA
Rfam family: Bacterial small subunit ribosomal RNA
Source: RNAcentral